CCUACGGGAGGCAGCAGUGGGGAAUUUUGGACAAUGGGCGCAAGCCUGAUCCAGCCAUGCCGCGUGAGUGAAGAAGGCCUUCGGGUUGUAAAGCUCCUUCGGCCGGGAAGAAAUCGUGGUCUCUAACAUAGGCCAUGGAUGACGGUACCGGACUAAGAAGCACCGGCUAACUACGUGCCAGCAGCCGCGGUAAU
Molecule: ribosomal RNA, 194 nt
Filed under: uncultured bacterium
Lineage: Bacteria
Description: partial 16S ribosomal RNA
Rfam family: Bacterial small subunit ribosomal RNA
Source: RNAcentral